GGCGAACGGGUGAGUAACACGUGGGUGAUCUGCCCUGCACUUCGGGAUAAGCCUGGGAAACUGGGUCUAAUACCGGAUAGGAGCCAUUUUUAGUGUGAUGGUUGGAAAGUUUUUCGGUGUAGGAUGAGCUCGCGGCCUAUCAGCUUGUUGGUGGGGUAAUGGCCUACCAAGGCGGCGACGGGUAGCCGGCCUGAGAGGGUGGACGGCCACAUUGGGACUGAGAUACGGCCCAG
RNAcentral lists this ribosomal RNA (233 nucleotides) under uncultured Actinomycetales bacterium. RNAcentral describes it as "partial 16S ribosomal RNA". It matches the Rfam family "Bacterial small subunit ribosomal RNA", at positions 97 to 334 of the family's 1533-position model. The record is from RNAcentral. Lineage: Bacteria; Bacillati; Actinomycetota; Actinomycetes; Actinomycetales.